CCCUUGGAAGCCCCGCCAACA
RNAcentral lists this transfer RNA (21 nucleotides) under Sparisoma aurofrenatum (redband parrotfish). RNAcentral describes it as "partial tRNA-Phe". Lineage: Eukaryota; Metazoa; Chordata; Actinopteri; Labriformes; Labridae. The record is from RNAcentral.